This 498-nucleotide ribosomal RNA is filed under the name uncultured bacterium. Its description in RNAcentral is "bacterial SSU rRNA". It matches the Rfam family "Bacterial small subunit ribosomal RNA", at positions 28 to 534 of the family's 1533-position model. The record is from RNAcentral.
GACGAACGCUGGCGGCGUGCCUAACACAUGCAAGUCGAGCGGAGAUAGACUGAUGGUAACUGAAGUUUGUCUUAGCGGCGGACGGGUGAGUAACACGUGGGCAACCUGCCUUGGAGUGGGGGAUAACACCGGGAAAUCGGUGCUAAUACCGCAUAACAUACACAAGCUGCAUGGUAUGUGUAUCAAAGGAGUAAUCCGCUUUAAGAUGGGCCCGCGGCUGAUUAGCUAGUUGGUAAGGUAACGGCUUACCAAGGCGACGAUCAGUAGCCGACCUGAGAGGGUGACCGGCCACACUGGAACUGAGACACGGUCCAGACUCCUACGGGAGGCAGCAGUGGGGAAUAUUGCGCAAUGGGGGGAACCCUGACGCAGCAACGCCGCGUGGAGGAAGAAGGUCUUCGGAUUGUAAACUCCUGUCUUCUGGGAAGAUAAUGACGGUACCAGAGGAGGAAGCCACGGCUAACUACGUGCCAGCAGCCGACGGUAAAAGUCACGUCG